RNAcentral lists this ribosomal RNA (560 nucleotides) under Niallia circulans. Its description in RNAcentral is "bacterial SSU rRNA". It matches the Rfam family "Bacterial small subunit ribosomal RNA", at positions 147 to 692 of the family's 1533-position model. Lineage: Bacteria; Bacillati; Bacillota; Bacilli; Caryophanales; Bacillaceae. The record is from RNAcentral.
CUUCGGGAAACCGGAGCUAAUACCGGAUAAUUCUUUCCAUCACAUGGGGAAAAGCUGAAAGACGGCAUCUCGCUGUCACUUACAGAUGGGCCCGCGGCGCAUUAGCUAGUUGGUGAGGUAACGGCUCACCAAGGCAACGAUGCGUAGCCGACCUGAGAGGGUGAUCGGCCACACUGGGACUGAGACACGGCCCAGACUCCUACGGGAGGCAGCAGUAGGGAAUCUUCCGCAAUGGACGAAAGUCUGACGGAGCAACGCCGCGUGAGUGAUGAAGGUUUUCGGAUCGUAAAGCUCUGUUGUUAGGGAAGAACAAGUACAAGAGUAACUGCUUGUACCUUGACGGUACCUAACCAGAAAGCCACGGCUAACUACGUGCCAGCAGCCGCGGUAAUACGUAGGUGGCAAGCGUUGUCCGGAAUUAUUGGGCGUAAAGCGCGCGCAGGCGGUCCUUUAAGUCUGAUGUGAAAGCCCACGGCUCAACCGUGGAGGGUCAUUGGAAACUGGGGGACUUGAGUGCAGAAGAGAAGAGUGGAAUUCCACGUGUAGCGGUGAAAUGCGUA